RNAcentral lists this transfer RNA (64 nucleotides) under Lithophaga curta. RNAcentral's name for it is "tRNA-Cys". Lineage: Eukaryota; Metazoa; Mollusca; Bivalvia; Mytilida; Mytilidae. The record is from RNAcentral.
UAUUCGGUAGUUAAAUAAUAACAACGGUUUGCAAAGCCGUAAUUGCUUGGUUAAGUUCGAAUCU